UGACUCAUUUUUCCAGUCUGUGUGACGUCCCGAUUAUGUAUGUUGUCACUUCACGCCAGCGAGGUUCUGAAAUUUAGGAACGUAAUGUGAAUAAGAAGAUCAAUACCAUGUGUAUGUACUGUAUGUAUGUAUAUAUGUAUGUACGUCGAUAGCAGAACUAUUAGGAAAGCUAAAUUGAUCAUCCAUAGCACGCACACACACACACCCCAUGACCACCUUGACAACUGUUCUACUUUAGGGUUCACAAAGGUCAAAGUCAUGGCUGGGAUAAAGCCUUUUUCAUCUCAACUACAGAAAGAAAGACUUACAUAUUGAUACUGGGUUGUUGUGUCAGGUGAUAAUGUUGAAGGUCAUCUAGGUUACAAUGGUGUGUGCGUAUGUGUUUACAUUAUGAGGUCCUCCACGUGCGUCUGUUUACAUAAUGAGGUCCUCCACGUGCGUCUGUUUACAUAAUGAGGUCCUCCACGUGCUUCUGUUUACAUUAUGAGGUCCUCCACGUGCGUCUGUUUACAUUAUGAGGUUCUCCACGUGGGUUUGUUUACAUGUGAGGAAAGUGAGUCUCUGCUGUACCUUCCAAGUGAUGGUACAGGUGGAAGUCGCUCGUGUGUAGACAAGUGACGGCGUUGAUUAUGGCAGUGACCGAGUGUGUGUGUGUCCGUGAGUGGUGUCCAGAUGUGCCUCAGUCCGGUUAACAGUUUUAUCCGGGUGUGUAUGGGUCCGGUUAACAGUUUUGUCCACCGGGUGUGUGUGCGUGUGUGUACUGUAUAUGCGUCCAUUGCCAAUUUUGUCCGUGGGGGAGGGGGAGUGAUAUGUACGGUACAUGUAGCAUCGUGACCAAUGAGAAAGCUUGCUUUACCUCACAACUAAUAACAACCAUCAUGUUAUUAUUCACAGCUUCUCUAGUAUUAUUGGAGGGUUAUUACAACACAGGUUAGGGAGGGUUAUUACAACAGGUCAGGGGAGGUCACGAGUGCUGUAUGUCUGUCGUGAGUCAAAAGAAGGUCAAUGGUUAUGGGUUGGGUUGCUUCAGAGUGUGGUAAUGUGGCAGAAUC
Molecule: long non-coding RNA, 1052 nt
Organism: Homarus americanus (American lobster)
Lineage: Eukaryota; Metazoa; Arthropoda; Malacostraca; Decapoda; Nephropidae
Exons: 2
Source: RefSeq, a predicted model, not a curated record